CAUUGCAGGUGGUUACUGAGGUCAGGCGUAAUUGGCGCUAUGAAGGGAGAGUGAAGGGAGCUGGUGGCACAUCUGCACAAGGGGAGAGGCCCCCAGGACAUGCUCUUGGACUCGGACGGAGAGGUAGGAUCAGCCAGCGCAGGCCUGAUUGGAGCACCGUGCUCAGAGGGACGCGCGGUCCCUGAAGUGCGCCAAGUGCCCUCUCAUGGAUUCUUGGCCAGCGUGGAAUCUGUACGUGCGUGUAUGAGCCGGGGAAGUGGUGAAGAAACGUCUUAAAGAAAUUCUUACAAAACUGUUCCUCCCAAACUGAUCUCCUGACCAUGACAAUGAGAACCCUCCUUAACCUCUUCUCCUUGUGCAUGUGUAAUGGUGAGAAUUGUAAGGUGUGCACCUGUUUUAGGUGAAGUGCGCCCCCAUCAACCUGCUGAUGGAGACCACCAUUGUCCAGGCCCGCCCCAUGAGAGCUUGGCGAGCCGGCUCCUGGCCCAGCUCUAACCCCUGCUUCUUCAUGUGAGGUCACGCUGCCAGGAGUGCUGGGGUUUCUGGGGCACAUCCCUGGUCAGAUGCAAGUUGAGAAGAUGCCUUUGAGUGGACCCCCGCAGUGUGCUCGCAGCAGCAAAUUGCCAGAAAGCAAGUGCAGGAGGAGGUGGCAGCGGACUGGGCGGUGAUGGUCAUGUCAGGUUGUGAGGUAAUUGUAGAGCACGUUGAUGGAGAUGGUGAGGUCCCCGUUGUUGAAGGGGUACGACCUGUUCCAGCCCUGGGCACCGAACUUGCGCCUCUCGGCCACCACGGCAUGGAAGUAGCACAGGGCGAAGAGAAUGCACUUGAACUCCAUCUCUUUGGAGCACAUCUCCAGGGUGUCCUGGGGGUGACAUGUUCUGUGUUGAGUGUUAACAAGAGGAAGCGGGA
Molecule: long non-coding RNA, 909 nt
Organism: Cynocephalus volans (Philippine flying lemur)
Lineage: Eukaryota; Metazoa; Chordata; Mammalia; Dermoptera; Cynocephalidae
Exons: 3
Source: RefSeq, a predicted model, not a curated record